GUAAUGCACAAGGCCCUCCUCCUUUCUCGAGGAGCUGGGAGGCCAGGAAAGCAGCCCGGAGGAGAGCAAGCAGCUUUCUUACACGAAGGAAGAUGCUUUGCAAAUCAGUGAAUUGUAUAUUUCGAGGGGGCGGGUUAAUUUUUUUUAUUAUUAUUAUUGUUACUAUUCCAGAUUUGGAGGGGGGGGGGGGGGGGGAGAUCAGCAACCAAGAAGACCAAAAAGACCGAGGACACACGUGGUAGAGAAGUCUGAAUCCAAAACCUCUUUUUCUGACUUUACUUUUGAAACCCUUUGGAGUUUGGCAGGACAAGUAGCCACUGCCUCCCUGUGAUCUACUAACAAGGUUUAAAAAGGUUAGAUCCUCCAAUCAAGGAGAAGAAACAACAUCUUGGGACUCGGAUUGCGAACUCCCAUUGGCCAUCCUAUCCCACAAAUUGCAAAAAGUGGAAGUUGAAUAGUUCACGAACACCACUCAGAAUGAAAGUUGUUCUCAAAUCUGUUUGUCAAACUCCUACAAAUAAGAGACACAUUUACAGAGAUCACAAAUGAUGCCAAGAGCUGAAAAACAGGGCUACAUUUAUCAGACCAUGCACUCAUAAUCUAUCUGGCCAUCUCUAUUUUAAUACACACAAGACUCAGAUAAGUAACACAUAAAGACCAACUGGAACAGAAAACUCCAGAAGGGAAAGCUCCUUUGAAAUAUCUCUGAUGUUCCCAGAAAACUGAAUAUGCACCUAAAAUUGCCAAGAUUUUGCAGAUAAAAAAUUUUUUUUUCAUCACCGUGUUAAAGACUUUGGCAUUCAUUUCUGGCAGCAACAUCUGAACAGUGUUCUUUCUAUCAGCUUACAUCAGCCAUUAGCUGCAUUUUGUAUAUAUGCAAACAAGUACCAGGUACCAUGCCUUCUUACAUAAAAGCAUUUGUCCUAACUCUGCUUUGACAUUGAUUUCCGUGUUCUUUCAAUCCUUUUUGGCAGAGCUGCUGUCACAGUCUCUCACUAAACGUCAACUCAGCACCUUCUGCUGCUCUUAUCAUUGACAUCUGCAGGUUCUGAGAUGGGGUGACAAUAGAACAGCAAGUGACAAACCAAGUACCAUGGGACAAGAAGAAAGGGCACGUUACCCACAGGCAAGUUGGAGAGCUUUUCCAGAUGGGAUUUCACUGGUCUAUAAUAAAUGUUCCAGUCAUAAAAGGGGAGAGUCUCCGUGCUUAAAGAAACACAGGAAUAAACAGUGACCAAAGCAAAAAGAGAAAGAAAAACGUAGCUCUUUGGUGCAAAUUAAAGAAAAAAUACUGCAUGUAACACACCGUUGCUUCUCCUUAGCUAGGUGGCAUGAACAGACUCUGCUUCUAGAAAACUGGUUGUUGCAUAGGUGUGUGUCCACGUAGUGGCAGCUAUUUGAAUCCUAUUUUAUUUUUUAAAAAAUUAAUUAAAUGUUCUGACCUGAGAGCCUGAAGCCUUCUGUCUUCGGAGAAGGUACUUUAUGAGAACAGUGCAGCCCUCACUUCCCACUGCAGCCUGCCAAUAGGCUCAACCCUGAAUUGGAGGGGCCAU
Molecule: non-coding RNA, 1553 nt
Organism: Caretta caretta (loggerhead turtle)
Lineage: Eukaryota; Metazoa; Chordata; Testudines; Cheloniidae
Source: RefSeq, a predicted model, not a curated record